Molecule: ribosomal RNA, 400 nt
Filed under: uncultured bacterium
Lineage: Bacteria
Description: bacterial SSU rRNA
Rfam family: Bacterial small subunit ribosomal RNA
Source: RNAcentral
UGGGGAAUAUUGGACAAUGGGCGAAAGCCUGAUCCAGCAAUGCCGCGUGAGUGAUGAAGGCCUUAGGGUUGUAAAGCUCUUUUACCAGAGAUGAUAAUGACAGUAUCUGGGGAAUAAGCCCCGGCUAACUCCGUGCCAGCAGCCGCGGUAAUACGGAGGGGGCUAGCGUUGUUCGGAAUUACUGGGCGUAAAGCGCGCGUAGGCGGCUAUUCAAGUCAGAGGUGAAAGCCUGGAGCUCAACUCCAGAACUGCCUUUGAAACUGGAUAGCUAGAAUCUUGGAGAGGUCAGUGGAAUUCCGAGUGUAGAGGUGAAAUUCGUAGAUAUUCGGAAGAACACCAGUGGCGAAGGCGACUGACUGGACAAGUAUUGACGCUGAGGUGCGAAAGCGUGGGGAGCAAA